Molecule: ribosomal RNA, 620 nt
Filed under: Psychrobacillus sp. AT-MI-04
Lineage: Bacteria; Bacillati; Bacillota; Bacilli; Caryophanales; Bacillaceae
Description: bacterial SSU rRNA
Rfam family: Bacterial small subunit ribosomal RNA
Source: RNAcentral
UGAUUUAGCGGCGGACGGGUGAGUAACACGUGGGCAACCUGCCCUGUAGAUUGGGAUAACUCCGGGAAACCGGGGCUAAUACCGAAUAAUCCAUUUCCUCACAUGGGGAGAUGUUAAAAGACGGUUUCGGCUGUCACUACAGGAUGGGCCCGCGGCGCAUUAGCUAGUUGGUGAGGUAACGGCUCACCAAGGCGACGAUGCGUAGCCGACCUGAGAGGGUGAUCGGCCACACUGGGACUGAGACACGGCCCAGACUCCUACGGGAGGCAGCAGUAGGGAAUCUUCCACAAUGGACGAAAGUCUGAUGGAGCAAUGCCGCGUGAGUGAAGAAGGUUUUCGGAUCGUAAAACUCUGUUGUGAGGGAAGAACAAGUACGAGAGUAACUGCUCGUACCUUGACGGUACCUCAUUAGAAAGCCACGGCUAACUACGUGCCAGCAGCCGCGGUAAUACGUAGGUGGCAAGCGUUGUCCGGAAUUAUUGGGCGUAAAGCGCGCGCAGGCGGUCCUUUAAGUCUGAUGUGAAAUCCCACGGCUCAACCGUGGAAGGUCAUUGGAAACUGGGGGACUUGAGUACAGAAGAGGAAAGCGGAAUUCCAAGUGUAGCGGUGAAAUGCGUAGA